GACGAACGCUGGCGGCGUGCCUAAUACAUGCAAGUUGAGCGCUGAAGGUUGGUACUUGUACCAACUGGAUGAGCAGCGAACGGGUGAGUAACGCGUGGGGAAUCUGCCUUUGAGCGGGGGACAACAUUUGGAAACGAAUGCUAAUACCGCAUAAAAACUUUAAACACAAGUUUUAAGUUUGAAAGAUGCAAUUGCAUCACUCAAAGAUGAUCCCGCGUUGUAUUAGCUAGUUGGUGAGGUAAAGGCUCACCAAGGCGAUGAUACAUAGCCGACCUGAGAGGGUGAUCGGCCACGGUGGGACUGAGACACGGCCCAAACUCCUACGGGAGGCAGCAGUAGGGAAUCUUCGGCAAUGGACGAAAGUCUGACCGAGCAACGCCGCGUGAGUGAAGAAGGUUUUCGGAUCGUAAAACUCUGUUGGUAGAGAAGAACGUUGGUGAGAGUGGAAAGCUCAUCAAGUGACGGUAACUACCCAGAAAGGGACGGCUAACUACGUG
This 497-nucleotide ribosomal RNA is filed under the name uncultured bacterium. RNAcentral's name for it is "partial 16S ribosomal RNA". It matches the Rfam family "Bacterial small subunit ribosomal RNA", at positions 28 to 507 of the family's 1533-position model. The record is from RNAcentral.